UGGGGAAUCUUGGACAAUGGGCGCAAGCCUGAUCCAGCCAUGCCGCGUGAGUGAAGAAGGCCCUAGGGUUGUAAAGCUCUUUCGGCGGGGACGAUAAUGACGGUACCCGCAGAAGAAGCCCCGGCUAACUUCGUGCCAGCAGCCGCGGUAAUACGAAGGGGGCUAGCGUUACUCGGAAUGACUGGGCGUAAAGGGCGCGUAGGCGGUUUGGACAGUUAGGCGUGAAAUUCCUGGGCUCAACCUGGGGGCUGCGCUUAAUACAUCCAGACUUGAGUGUGGAAGAGGGUCGUGGAAUUCCCAGUGUAGAGGUGAAAUUCGUAGAUAUUGGGAAGAACACCGGUGGCGAAGGCGGCGACCUGGUCCAUUACUGACGCUGAGGCGCGAAAGCGUGGGGAGCAAACA
Molecule: ribosomal RNA, 402 nt
Filed under: uncultured bacterium
Lineage: Bacteria
Description: bacterial SSU rRNA
Rfam family: Bacterial small subunit ribosomal RNA
Source: RNAcentral